GGGUGCGAUCAUUCCAACACUAAUGCACCGGAUCCAAUGAGAACUCCGCAGUUAAGCGUGCCAGGGCGAGAGUAGUACUAGGAUGGGUGACCCCCUACGAAGUUCUCGUGUUGCAACCC
Ribosomal RNA from Camellia sinensis, 119 nucleotides. Lineage: Eukaryota; Viridiplantae; Streptophyta; Magnoliopsida; Ericales; Theaceae. The record is from RefSeq and is a predicted model, not a curated record.